This 146-nucleotide ribosomal RNA is filed under the name uncultured eukaryote. RNAcentral's name for it is "partial small subunit ribosomal RNA". It matches the Rfam family "Bacterial small subunit ribosomal RNA", at positions 1383 to 1525 of the family's 1533-position model. The record is from RNAcentral.
GUACACACCGCCCGUCACGCCAUGAGAGUUGUUUGUACCCAAAGUCAUCUUAACUAACUCGAAAGAGAGGUGGAUGCCUAAGGUAUGAACAAUGAUUGGGGCGAAGUCGUAACAAGGUAGCCGUAGGUGAACCUGCAGAAGGAUCA